CCUCAAUGCACCUUGACUUGACCCUUUUAUUAGGACUUCUUGCCUUGGUGUUGGGAGACCCAAAAUAUAAUUGGGUAGGGCCUUUUAGGCACAUACCAUUACACUAGCCCCUAUACCCUUGGUCACGUAGUGAGUAAUAGGUCUAAGAUUGUUGAAGUGAAAAGUUUUGAAUUUUUAUCUGAUGUGGAAAAAGUUGUUUUUUUUUACAAUGUGGUUUUGUCAAUCUUGAUGUGGGAACUCAUUUGAAUGCAGUAACCCCUAGCCUUCAUAAACUUAUAGCUAAGAGAUGAUGUGGAAGUCUAAAGGGUUUUUGAAGCAACAUCUCAAGGGUUACAUCCCUUUGAUUCAUGAGUGUUUCAAUGCGUGUAUCCAUUGUGACAUUUGACUGACGUAACGAUGGGAUCGUUUCCUUUAGGAGGUUUGAUCUGAAUUUUUGGAUUUAAUGGUGUUAGAUCUUAUUGUUCGAUCGUAAUUGAGUACCUCCAAAUUGUUUCCAAUCGUUGUUUCGUGUUCCCCUCCAAUUUAAAUAUAUACUUUUGAGGUUUCCUUUUUUGCGCAUUUAUUCCACCACGUUAUCCCUAACUCUGGUUCUCUAAGAUUCUCGUGCUUUCAAUUAUUUUUUCCUUCAAAUAUUUCUUUCCUGUUCUCAUAUUGGGUAUAUUCUCAUUUCUUUUAC
Molecule: long non-coding RNA, 676 nt
Filed under: Medicago truncatula (barrel medic)
Lineage: Eukaryota; Viridiplantae; Streptophyta; Magnoliopsida; Fabales; Fabaceae
Description: long non-coding RNA (MTRU_LNC008343)
Source: RNAcentral